ACGCUCGACACCUACGGGGGGCAGCAGUGGGGAAUAUUGCACAAUGGGGGAAACCCUGAUGCAGCAACGCCGCGUGAAGGAAGACGGUUUUCGGAUUGUAAACUUCUGUUCUUAGUGAAGAUAGUGACGGUAGCUAAGGAGCAAGCCACGGCUAACUACGUGCCAGCAGCAGCGGUAAUCUAGAGCGGGCUGGCAAGGC
Molecule: ribosomal RNA, 199 nt
Filed under: uncultured bacterium
Lineage: Bacteria
Description: partial 16S ribosomal RNA
Rfam family: Bacterial small subunit ribosomal RNA
Source: RNAcentral